GGCGGACGGGUGAGUAAUAUAUAGGUAAUGUGCCCUAGAGAGGGGGAUAACAGUUGGAAACGACUGCUAACACCCCAUAUGCCUUUAAGACAAAAGUCUGCAAGGGAAAUAUUUAUAGCUCUAGGAUCGGCCUGUACGGUAUCAGCUAGUUGGUGAGGUAAUGGCUCACCAAGGCAAUGACGCCUAACUGGUUUGAGAGGAUGAUCAGUCACACUGGAACUGAGACACGGUCCAGACUCCUACGGGAGGCAGCAGUGGGGAAUAUUGCACAAUGGGGGAAACCCUGAUGCAGCAACGCCGUGUGGAGGAUGACACAUUUCGGUGCGUAAACUCCUUUUAUAUAGGAAGAUAAUGACGGUACUAUAUGAAUAAGCGCCGGCUAACUCCGUGCCAGCAGCCGCGGUAAUACGGAGGGCGCAAGCGUUACUCGGAAUCACUGGGCGUAAAGAGCGUGUAGGCGGGUUAAUAAGUUUGAAGUGAAAUCCUAUGGCUCAACCAUAGAACUGCUUUGAAAACUGUUAACCUAGAAUAUGGGAGAGGUAGAUGGAAUUUCUGGUGUAGGGGUAAAAUCCGUAGAGAUCAGAAGGAAUACCGAUUGCGAAGGCGAUCUACUGGAACAUUAUUGACGCUGAGACGCGAAAGCGUGGGGAGCAAACAGGAUUAGAUACCCUGGUAGUCCACGCCCUAAACGAUGUACACUAGUUGUUGUGAGGCUAGACCUUGCAGUAAUGCAGUAAACACAUUAAGUG
RNAcentral lists this ribosomal RNA (749 nucleotides) under uncultured Arcobacter sp. RNAcentral's name for it is "bacterial SSU rRNA". It matches the Rfam family "Bacterial small subunit ribosomal RNA", at positions 97 to 866 of the family's 1533-position model. Lineage: Bacteria; Pseudomonadati; Campylobacterota; Epsilonproteobacteria; Campylobacterales; Arcobacteraceae. The record is from RNAcentral.